Molecule: ribosomal RNA, 301 nt
Filed under: uncultured bacterium
Lineage: Bacteria
Description: partial 16S ribosomal RNA
Rfam family: Bacterial small subunit ribosomal RNA
Source: RNAcentral
CAGUCGCCGCGGGAACACGGAGGAUCCGAGCGUUAUCCGGAAUUAUUGGGUUUAAAGGGUGCGUAGGCGGAUAGAUAAGUCAGUGGUGAAAGACGGUGGCUCAACCAUCGCAGUGCCGUUGAUACUGUUUAUCUUGAAUAUGGAUGAGGUAGGCGGAAUGUGGCAAGUAGCGGUGAAAUGCAUAGAUAUGCCACAGAACACCGAUUGCGAAGGCAGCUUACCAAGGCAAAAUUGACGCUGAGGCACGAAAGCGUGGGGAUCGAACAGGAUUAGAUACCCCUGUAGUCCCUGUCUCUUAUAC